GACGAACGCUGGCGGCGUGCUUAACACAUGCAAGUCGAACGGAAAGGCUGGGCUUUUGACUGGGGGGCUUGGGGGGCAACGGGUUGGUAAACCGGGGGAAACCCGCCCUUGACUCCGGGGAAAGCCUGGGAAACCGGGUCUAAAACGGGAUAAAGCUUUUGCCUCCAUGGGGGGGUGUGGAAAGGGCUUUGGUGGUUUUGGAUGGGCCCACGGCCUAUCAGCUUGUUGGUGGGGUAAUGGCCCACCAAGGCGACGACGGGUAGCCGGCCUGAGAGGGUGACCGGCCACACUGGGACUGAGACACGGCCCAGACUCCUACGGGAGGCAGCAGUGGGGAAUAUUGCACAAUGGGCGGAAGCCUGAUGCAGCGACGCCGCGUGAGGGAUGACGGCCUUCGGGUUGUAAACCUCUUUCAGCACGGAAGAAGCGAGAGUGACGGUACGUGCAGAAGAAGCGCCGGCUAACUACGUG
This 471-nucleotide ribosomal RNA is filed under the name uncultured bacterium. RNAcentral describes it as "partial 16S ribosomal RNA". It matches the Rfam family "Bacterial small subunit ribosomal RNA", at positions 28 to 507 of the family's 1533-position model. The record is from RNAcentral.